GGUGUGUCUUAUGGGGAGGUGCUUCUGGCCCUGACCUGUUUUAGCUAGUCUUCAAUUAGGUCUGGUGUCCAAGCCCCACCUCCAGAGUUGAGUUCUGCCUCCUGCCACAAUAGGAGAGUAAAUGGAGCUCUCCUGGAAAGGCUAGAUGGGGACGACCAGGAGAGGGUCCCGAGCAGUGGAGUGAGCAAAUCUAAGCCCUGCAGAUGGCUGCGGAUGCUGCUGCCCCAAUGCCUGCACAGGGUGAAAAGAAACCGCCAGGAAAUGGUGCAUUUUCCUGCUGCACCUUCCCACUCACCCACUUUCUUCUCCUCAUAAUCAACUGAACCUCCAAACUAAAAAAACACCUGCAGAAUAGACCAAGAAGUCCUUUUCCCUUCUGAUCCCUGAAUGGAAAGGAAUGCUAUGCACACUUUUUGGAUACAGGAAGUGAGAUUCAGAGGGGUUAAACAGCUUUCCUAAAGCCACACAGCGAGAGAGUCGAUCUGAACUGAAGAUUGUUUGACAUCAAAGCUCAUUUCUUUCCCUAAAUGUCAGCAUUCUUUCCUGACUUAUUAAUUUGAUUUCUGUCCUCCCCUCAUGGAAGUUAAUUAAAGGAAUGCGAGAACCUUUUAGAAAAUCU
Molecule: long non-coding RNA, 619 nt
Organism: Homo sapiens (human)
Lineage: Eukaryota; Metazoa; Chordata; Mammalia; Primates; Hominidae
Product: long intergenic non-protein coding RNA 2127
Source: Ensembl